This is a long non-coding RNA of Macrobrachium nipponense, 1728 nucleotides long. RefSeq lists it as uncharacterized. NCBI's taxonomy places the organism in Eukaryota, Metazoa, Arthropoda, Malacostraca, Decapoda, Palaemonidae. The transcript is spliced from 2 exons. The record is from RefSeq and is a predicted model, not a curated record.
AUAUGUGUGUGUGUGUGUGUUUGCGUGCGCACGCGCAAUCACAGUCAAAACUAGACAGGAGUCCAGACAACUCAAAAUAGUAACCAUCACUUAUUGACCCACCCCAACAGCGUCUUAGGCAUUAUUAUAAAGUCCGUUUGCGUGCCGUGUGCAGUCCUGAAUCAUUGUACAUAUAAAGACAUUGUCACCGCCGAGAUACGCCUGAUCUCUAAUCGAUGCCGAUAUUCUAUCGGUAAUUUAUAUCAACUUCUGCACACGGCACCAACAGCUAGCGAAGCCGUCGCCGCAGGUGCACACGGCGUUAAUAGCUGUGACCUCGACGCCAGAGUUUAUCACUUUUAUCUGAGUAUCGAACAAGAUACGUUCGUUGUUGUUGUUGUUCCUGUUGCUACUGCCGGCGUUGUUGUCCAGGCUACACGCUUAACUGGGGUGUAGCAGGAGAAAGAGAAAGAAGAGAGCUACGUGUCCUUAUCGAUGUAGAACAAACAAUCAAGAACAUUCCGUCAAGACGUUAGAAAGGUAUCAAAUUCUAUAACCUAAUCAUAAACAGCUCGUAACUAUGUCCCACGAACUACGAGUAUUUGGUUCGAACAUAAGAAAUGGUGAUAACCAUAGACGACGUCUGAGGUUCCGGUGAGGUAAAAAGUCUAUUAAGCUACAAAUAUGAAGUCUUUCUGAAUGAAACUAAAUGCAAUACAAAUUCUGACAUUAAUAACUCCUAAUAUCAAUUCGAAACAAGAUAGGCAUUUCCUCCACCGCCCAGAAAUAAAACCUUGUUGCAAAUCCAAGAAAAGUUCUGAGCCUCAAAUUACGAGAUAAUUGAACCUGUUGACUGGUUCACGAAUUCCUUGCUUUAAAUCACCAGUGAACCUUCAAUCUAGACCACCUAAAUUACCCAUUAAAGCUAAGAUUCCCCACUAUUUAACUCCAAUGUCAAACAGUUUCAUUUUUCAAGAUUUCUUUUCCAAGGUAAAUAUGGUUCGCCUAUUUGAAUGUCCUGCAGCCUUCCUGGAACUUUAUCUUUCCAGUAGACUGUCUGAAGAGACAAGUUCUUUUCCCUUACAAUGCCACUUGUCAUUUGGACCACUGCUGGAAGUUCCUGUUUGGCCAUCUUUGAAUAAUUCAAUUGCACAUAAGUGUCUUUGUUGCCUAUAUAUCAAUAACUAUGACAAAGGUUUCAUUUUUAUGUCCUAGCAAGUGGCAAAAAAAACGGGAUACUAUUUUACCCUUAGACUGACAUGCCAUGAUCAUUGAGGCCUCAGAUUCAAUUACUGAUGUUUUAUUUUAUGCUACUUAUUUAGCAGUGUGUGAUCCUUUAACAGCAGUGCUGCUGAUGAUCAGCAUCAUAAAUUUUUCAGUCUUUAAACACUGCUUUAAUUUUGCUCAUUAAUGUUAUUGUUUAUGUACGUACAUCUUUCUGUUUGCAUAUGAGUUUAUUUUCCAAGUUAAUGGCCAAUAAAACAAUAAAGGCAGUAAAUUCCAGCCUUCUGUUACACCCUGAUAGUGAUACAACUAACCAGUUAGUAAGAGAUGUUCGGAGUUCAGCUACAGCGGAUGACUGCUCCUUAUUUGAAUUUGGUUUUUGACCUAACGCUCCUCUACUUACGAACGAGUUCCGUUCCGAACGACUAUUCGAACUCGUAAGUUCAUUUUGUUUGUAACUUCAAUUUGGUAUACGCUGAGUUUUUUCAUACUAUAACCCAAUACUAGUAUUGUUACUGUAUUUUA